Molecule: unclassified non-coding RNA, 323 nt
Filed under: Tranzscheliella hypodytes
Lineage: Eukaryota; Fungi; Basidiomycota; Ustilaginomycetes; Ustilaginales; Ustilaginaceae
Description: partial internal transcribed spacer region
Rfam family: Eukaryotic small subunit ribosomal RNA (bases 1-46)
Source: RNAcentral
AAGUCGUAACAAGGUAUCUGUAGGUGAACCUGCAGAUGGAUCAUUUGAAAAAUAAAAUAAUUUGGCUUUCUUUGGCUUUGAGGUGUGGCUUCGCACCUGACUAACUAAAAUUGAGCUACCCAUUUUUACACGGUUGCAUUGGUCAGGCUGUCAAACAGCGCCGCGGUCAAACGCGGUUAGCUGGGUGAACGCCUGUCAAACCAAUUUUGAAUUCACACUUUGGAAUGAUAGGAUUUUGGCAUGUCAUUUGGGAUGAAAGCGACUGGUAAUGCGGUCGUUGAAAUUGAAAAAACAACUUUUGGCAACGGAUCUCUUGGUUCUCC